This 443-nucleotide ribosomal RNA is filed under the name uncultured bacterium. RNAcentral's name for it is "partial 16S ribosomal RNA". It matches the Rfam family "Bacterial small subunit ribosomal RNA", at positions 339 to 795 of the family's 1533-position model. The record is from RNAcentral.
CUACGGGGGGCUGCAGUCGAGAAUCUUCCGCAAUGGACGAAAGUCUGACGGAGCGACGCCGCGUGAUUGAUGAAGCAAUUCGUUGUGUAAAGAUCUUUUAUGAGGGAAGAAGUUUAUUGACGGUACCUCAUGAAUAAGGGGCUCCUAAUCUCGUGCCAGCAGGAGCGGUAAUACGAGAGCCCCGAGCGUUAUCCGGAAUUAUUGGGCGUAAAGGGUGCGUAGGUGGUUGUGUUAGUCGUCUGCUAAAUCCUCGGGCUUAACCCGAGAACCUCGGGCGAAACGGCACAACUAGAGAAUGUGAAGGGUAUAGGGAACUCAUGGUGUAGGGGUGAAAUCCGUUGAUAUCAUGGGGAACACCAAAAGCGAAGGCACUAUACUGGCACAUAUCUGACACUCAAGCACGAAAGCGUGGGUAGCGAAUGGGAUUAGAUACCCCCGUAGUC